This 96-nucleotide ribosomal RNA is filed under the name Streptococcus pyogenes. RNAcentral's name for it is "partial 16S ribosomal RNA". The record is from RNAcentral. Lineage: Bacteria; Bacillati; Bacillota; Bacilli; Lactobacillales; Streptococcaceae.
GAGAGGGAAAGCAGAGGACCUUCGUGCCUUGCGCUAUCCGAGCGGCCAAUAUCUGAUUAUCUACUCAGCGGGGUAAAUGCCCACCAACACGACCAU